RNAcentral lists this non-coding RNA (29 nucleotides) under Mus musculus (house mouse). The record is from RNAcentral. Lineage: Eukaryota; Metazoa; Chordata; Mammalia; Rodentia; Muridae.
UCAGACACAUGAAAAUGAAGCAGUUCCAA